UUCGUCUGAUAUCACAUAUUUCUGAAGUGUUGCAUGUGAGUAAUUUCUUUUAUUUUAAUGAAAUUUUAAAUUUUAACCUAAGAUUUGAAAUUGGGGUAGUAAAAAUUCAAUGAGACCAAGCAACUGAAACGCACAUAGGAUUUUUUGGGGUGCAAGAGGAAUAAACGGUGAAGGUUGCAAAGAAGCAGCUUUUAAGUAAUCUCUCGGCGGCUCAUAUUGAGAGAUGUGUCUUUCUAAUCUGGAGGAAAGAUGAAUGCAGUUAGUAAAGUUCAGGAAGUGCUUACCAUGACAAAGAAGAAGAAUUGACAGAAUCAUGACUAAAGUGCCGCAAGAAUGCUCCAAUAUUGACAUUCUAUGGACUGCUUCAAUGGAUAUGGCAUCUUAUCUUAAUCCUUAUGCUAUUGUUGCAACUAGAAAUUAUAUGAAAAAAGAGGAUGUUAAAGAGAAGCUAGACAUGGGUUUAACAUCAUACUUUUGUUGCACCAGGUAUUUGAAAUUUUAGGCAUUGCAUUACAAGUUUGAAUGGCAACAUAGUAAUAGAUUGCACAGGAAUGUUGUAGUAAAAAGAUGUGUUGCUGCAAAACUAAAGCAUGGAGAAAGUGGGAGCCACAUUGAAAGAGGGAAUAAGACUAAUAGAUGGUAGACAUGUACUUGGAAGUGCUGUGGAAUUCAUAAAGAUUGCCUUGGUUAGAGAAGUUGAUGAGAACAAUCUCAGUUACAUGUGUUAGCUUAAUUUUUCUGUUAAGUGAUGUUUCAACUGGGAAUCCUUUUGGUGCUGCUACUUUGUCUUCCACCCUUAUCCAAACAAGCAAAUUUUAUAUCCUUUGGCGUUUGAAACCUUAUAUUUGCAGGUUACUCCACCACAAGAGAAAAGUUCAAACUUUUUUUUAUCUUCAAAGGUCUUCAUCACAUGUAUUAGAGAAAAUAGUUUCAAAUAUGUUAUGAAUAGAAUUCUAUUUAGAGUGAAUGUCUAUCUUGUAGAGAGUUUUACUUUGUGGCUAAGUCAUUUUUUCCCGGUCUUACCCCAUUGUAGAUCAUCCCAAAAUUCAAUAAGAAUUUUCUCUCUCUUUCUCUGCAA
Molecule: long non-coding RNA, 1078 nt
Organism: Nicotiana tabacum (common tobacco)
Lineage: Eukaryota; Viridiplantae; Streptophyta; Magnoliopsida; Solanales; Solanaceae
Source: RefSeq, a predicted model, not a curated record